Molecule: long non-coding RNA, 428 nt
Organism: Hippocampus comes (tiger tail seahorse)
Lineage: Eukaryota; Metazoa; Chordata; Actinopteri; Syngnathiformes; Syngnathidae
Exons: 3
Source: RefSeq, a predicted model, not a curated record
CGCUGUGGCAGGUGCAACGUAAUCCAUCCUACAUCCAGGUUUGCUGCCUGGCGAGACGAAUGCAAUCCUCAUGGUCAAAUGCUUGUCAGAAUUGUGUCUCUUCAGUUAAGACAUAUCCAACGAUGUGCUCUCUCAGGACUCAUGGCAGGCGGCCGAAUGAUACGCAGGCUAUUUCGGAGGCUGCCAUACAUCUGUCUUCGUCGCCGAUACAAAGUCGUAGUCUGCUGUGCAACCCUCAUUCUCGUGAUGCUGCGCCUUCAUCGCAUGGCAGAGCGAGAGAAACUGCAGAGCGAGGACUGGUCUCACCAGUCGAAUGAGGUUCCCAAAGAAGACAAGAAGGUGGAUAAAUGUACAUCAUUCCACAGCAGAGAGUGUACACCCAUUCCCAUCGAUGUGGUGUACACGUGGGUUAAUGGCACAGACGUGAG